CGGGAAUUCGAUUAGAGUUUGAUCAUGGCUCAGAUUGAACGCUGGCGGCAUGCCUUACACAUGCAAGUCGAACGGCAGCAUGAUCUAGCUUGCUAGAUUGAUGGCGAGUGGCGAACGGGUGAGUAAUACAUCGGAACGUGCCCUGUAGUGGGGGAUAACUAGUCGAAAGAUUAGCUAAUACCGCAUACGACCUGAGGGUGAAAGUGGGGGACCGCAAGGCCUCAUGCUAUAGGAGCGGCCGAUGUCUGAUUAGCUAGUUGGUGGGGUAAAGGCCCACCAAGGCGACGAUCAGUAGCUGGUCUGAGAGGACGAUCAGCCACACUGGGACUGAGACACGGCCCAGACUCCUGCGGGAGGCAGCAGUGGGGAAUUUUGGACAAUGGGGGCAACCCUGAUCCAGCAAUGCCGCGUGUGUGAAGAAGGCCUUCGGGUUGUAAAGCACUUUUGUCCGGAAAGAAAUCGCACUUACUAAUAUUAGGUGUGGAUGACGGUACCGGAAGAAUAAGGACCGGCUAACUACGUGCCAGCAGCCGCGGUAAUACGUAGGGUCCAAGCGUUAAUCGGAAUUACUGGGCGUAAAGCGUGCGCAGGCGGUUGUGCAAGACCGAUGUGAAAUCCCCGGGCUUAACCUGGGAAUUGCAUUGGUGACUGCACGGCUAGAGUGUGUCAGAGGGGGGUAGAAUUCCACGUGUAGCAGUGAAAUGCGUAGAGAUGUGGAGGAAUACCGAUGGCGAAGGCAGCCCCCUGGGAUAACACUGACGCUCAUGCACGAAAGCGUGGGGAGCAAACAGGAUUAGAUACCCUGGUAGUCCACGCCCUAAACGAUGUCAACUAGUUGUUGGGGAUUCAUUUCCUUAGUAACGUAGCUAACGCGUGAAGUUGACCGCCUGGGGAGUACGGUCGCAAGAUUAAAACUCAAAGGAAUUGACGGGGACCCGCACAAGCGGUGGAUGAUGUGGAUUAAUUCGAUGCAACGCGAAAAACCUUACCUACCCUUGACAUGCCACUAACGAAGCAGAGAUGCAUUAGGUGCUCGAAAGAGAAAGUGGACACAGGUGCUGCAUGGCUGUCGUCAGCUCGUGUCGUGAGAUGUUGGGUUAAGUCCCGCAACGAGCGCAACCCUUGUCUCUAGUUGCUACGAAAGGGCACUCUAGAGAGACUGCCGGUGACAAACCGGAGGAAGGUGGGGAUGACGUCAAGUCCUCAUGGCCCUUAUGGGUAGGGCUUCACACGUCAUACAAUGGUGCAUACAGAGGGUUGCCAAGCCGCGAGGUGGAGCUAAUCCCAGAAAAUGCAUCGUAGUCCGGAUCGUAGUCUGCAACUCGACUACGUGAAGCUGGAAUCGCUAGUAAUCGCGGAUCAGCAUGCGGCGGUGAA
Molecule: ribosomal RNA, 1377 nt
Filed under: uncultured bacterium
Lineage: Bacteria
Description: bacterial SSU rRNA
Rfam family: Bacterial small subunit ribosomal RNA
Source: RNAcentral